RNAcentral lists this ribosomal RNA (509 nucleotides) under Dictyocoela sp. 41 JEI-2011. RNAcentral's name for it is "partial small subunit ribosomal RNA". It matches the Rfam family "Microsporidia small subunit ribosomal RNA", at positions 269 to 778 of the family's 1311-position model. Lineage: Eukaryota; Fungi; Microsporidia. The record is from RNAcentral.
CCAGGRCCAAGGUCAGCAGCAGGCGCGAAAAUUAUCGAAGCCCGCGUAGGGGCGAUAGUGAGGAGACGUGUAUUACGAAGUGUGUGUAAAGAACGCACUAAUAACUGGAGGUCAAGUCUGGUGCCAGCAUCCGCGGUAAUUCCAGCUCCAGGGGUGUCUAUGAUGAUUGCUGCGAUUAAAAAGUCCGUAGUCAAGCUGACUGACUUGCCUGCAAUGUGACUGAUUAAGAGACGAGCAGGGCUAGGAAAGCAGAGAAUUAGGAGCGACCGAGGGCUAGAGUAUUGAAUGGCGAGAGGUGAAAUUUGAUGACCCAUUCAGGAGUGACAAAGGCGAAGGCACUAGUCAAGGGCGAAUCCGAUGAUCAAGGACGUAGGCUAGAGUUUCGAAAACGAUUAGAGACCGGAGUAGUUCUAGCAGUAAACUAUGCCGACGCCGUGGUAUGGUAUUUUGUAUUGCGGAAGAGAAAUCAAGUAAGGCUUUGGGGAGAGUACGCGCGCAAGCGAUAAAUU